RNAcentral lists this long non-coding RNA (250 nucleotides) under Ananas comosus (pineapple). RNAcentral's name for it is "long non-coding RNA (ACOM_LNC039913)". The record is from RNAcentral. Lineage: Eukaryota; Viridiplantae; Streptophyta; Magnoliopsida; Poales; Bromeliaceae.
UUCUCACCCCACUCUAUUUCCAGUGGUAGGUACAGGGCUGCCGAGAGAGGACCGCGGCAAGGGCAUCGCGCCCGAUCAGUGAGACCGUGGUAGUAUAGUAGCUUUCCUUUUUACAUUAGCACACCUAUGUAUUGAGAGAGAUUCAUUGUAGGUGAGGGUUUGGAGGGCUAUGUAUUUUGGAGAUGAAAAAUGUAAUCAUUUAAAGAAAAUGAUAUAAAGGAAAAUGAUGAAACUAUUGUAAUAGUUAGUA